Molecule: ribosomal RNA, 483 nt
Filed under: uncultured bacterium
Lineage: Bacteria
Description: partial 16S ribosomal RNA
Rfam family: Bacterial small subunit ribosomal RNA
Source: RNAcentral
GACGAACGCUGGCGGCGUGCUUAACACAUGCAAGUCGAACGAUGAAGCUGGAGCUUGCUCCGGUGGAUUAGUGGCGAACGGGUGAGUAACACGUGAGCAAUCUGCCCUUCACUCUGGGAUAACUGCGGGAAACUGUAGCUAAUACCGGAUACGAGACCUUGGGGCAUCCCAGGGUCUGGAAAGAAUUUCGGUGAAGGAUGAGCUCGCGGCCUAUCAGCUAGUUGGUGAGGUAAUGGCUCACCAAGGCGACGACGGGUAGCCGGCCUGAGAGGGUGACCGGACACACUGGGACUGAGAGACGGCCCAGACUCCUACGGGAGGCAGCAGUGGGGAAUAUUGCACAAUGGGCGAAAGCCUGAUGCAGCAACGCCGCGUGAGGGAUGAAGGCCUUCGGGUUGUAAACCUCUUUUAGUAGGGAAGAAGCGCAAGUGACGGUACCUACAGAAAAAGCACCGGCUAACUACGUGCCAGCAGCCGCCGUAA